UACGGGAGGCAGCAGUGGGGAAUAUUGGACAAUGGGCGAAAGCCUGAUCCAGCCAUGCCGCAUGAGUGAAGAAGGCCUUCGGGUUGUAAAGCUCUUUUAGUGAGAAAGAUAAUGACGGUACUCACAGAAGAAGUCCUGGCUAACUCCGUGCCAGCAGCCGCGGUAAUACGGAGGGUGCGAGCGUUAAUCGGAAUUACUGGGCGUAAAGGGCACGCAGGCGGUUAAUUAAGUUGGAUGUGAAAUCCCCGGGCUUAACCUGGGAAUGGCAUUCAAGACUGGUUAGCUAGAGUCUUGUAGAGGGGGGUUAGAAUUCCAUGUGUAGCGGUGAAAUGCGUAGAGAUGUGGAGGAAUACCGGUGGCGAAGGCGGCCCCUGGACAAAGCUGACGCUCAUGUGCGAAAGCGUGGGGAGCAAACGAGGGAUUAGAUACC
Molecule: ribosomal RNA, 430 nt
Filed under: uncultured bacterium
Lineage: Bacteria
Description: bacterial SSU rRNA
Rfam family: Bacterial small subunit ribosomal RNA
Source: RNAcentral